CAAUAGCGUAUAUUAAAGUUGUUGCGGUAAAAAAGCUCGUAGUUGGAUUUCUGUUGAGAGCGACCGGUCCAUACCAUGUAUGCGUAUCUGGCUUGCUCUCGGCAUCCUCUCGAUAGACGUUACUGCGCUUGAUUGCGUGGUGCGGAUCUCGGGACUUUUACUUUGAGGAAAUUAGAGUGUUCACGGCAGGCUUUCGCCAGAAUACAUUAGCAUGGAAUAAUACUAUAGGAUCUUGGUUCUAUUUUGUUGGUUUCUAGAAUUGAGAUAAUGAUUAAUAGGGACAAUUGGGGGCAUUCGUAUCAAAACGUCAGAGGUGGAAUUCUUGGAUUGUGUUGCGACGAACUACUGCGAAAGCAUUUGCCAAGGAUGUUUUCAUUGA
Molecule: ribosomal RNA, 379 nt
Filed under: uncultured eukaryote
Lineage: Eukaryota
Description: partial 18S ribosomal RNA
Rfam family: Eukaryotic small subunit ribosomal RNA
Source: RNAcentral